CGUCUCCACAGUUUUUCUGGGCGGUGACUCGGAAGCCAAGAGGAAGGAAAGUGAGUGGGAGGCGGAAGAAAGGAAGGCGCUUCCUGAAGAAAGCUGCAGAAAAAAAGAAAUUUGUAAGAUCAUGCCUUCACCUGAAGAGAAACUAUUCUCAGGCUGAUUCAAGAAGUCACUGGACAAGGAUUACACUCCUGUCAUAUGGAAGCCAGAUGUCAUUACGCAAGUAAAGCAAUACCCAUAGACCUGAUUUUGAAGAGAACUACUUCCUCACACAUCCUCCAAGAUGCUCUGUUUGUUCAGUGUUCACCAGGAUAACUAAGCUCUUCUGGUGUUGACACCAUCCAGCUCCAGCAUUCUGUCAGGAGGCCGAUCAGAUGACUGGGAAACAUGGAGCAGUGUUUGCCAUGUGCACUCAUGCCAAGCCCAGCAAUACACCUGGCUCUGCCUCAAAUAUAUCCAUGUGUUACUGCAGACACAUAAUGAUAAAAUAACAGUUCACAAAACACUGAAGAUGAACUACAACCAUCUUAGCUAUCUGAAUGAUGUUUUAGCCCCUACAGAAAUAAGACAUUUACAAGUAAAUAUGUUUUGAAUGUUUUCUUCAAUACAGGCACAACAAUAAAAGCUUAUUUUUAUUCCAAUAAUUGAAAUGUGUUGUUAAAAAUAAAUUCAUGUUUGUAUUCCCACCUUGCAUUGUUUUUGACUCAUUGUAAGGGCUUAAUCUAUAUUUGUUUAAUUAUAAUCUUGCAUUUUGUUAUGGUUACACACAAAUUGAAAUCCUACUCAGAUACACUAAGUCAGUGUUUAGAAUAAACUUUGUGUACUGCGU
Long non-coding RNA from Manis pentadactyla (Chinese pangolin), 826 nucleotides. RefSeq lists it as uncharacterized. The record is from RefSeq and is a predicted model, not a curated record. The transcript is spliced from 5 exons. Lineage: Eukaryota; Metazoa; Chordata; Mammalia; Pholidota; Manidae.